RNAcentral lists this ribosomal RNA (464 nucleotides) under uncultured bacterium. RNAcentral describes it as "partial 16S ribosomal RNA". It matches the Rfam family "Bacterial small subunit ribosomal RNA", at positions 28 to 507 of the family's 1533-position model. The record is from RNAcentral.
GACGAACGCUGGCGGCGUGCCUAACACAUGCAAGUCGAGCGAAUGAAGUUCCUUCGGGAAUGGAUUUAGCGGCGGACGGGUGAGUAACACGUGGGCAACCUGCCUCAUAGAGGGGAAUAGCCCUCCGAAAGGGAGAUUAAUACCGCAUAAGAUUGUAGUAUCGCAUGAUACAGCAAUUAAAGGAGCAAUCCGCUAUGAGAUGGGCCCGCGGCGCAUUAGCUAGUUGGUGAGGUAACGGCUCACCAAGGCGACGAUGCGUAGCCGACCUGAGAGGGUGAUCGGCCACAUUGGGACUGAGACACGGCCCAGACUCCUACGGGAGGCAGCAGUGGGGAAUAUUGCACAAUGGGGGAAACCCUGAUGCAGCAACGCCGCGUGAGUGAUGACGGCCUUCGGGUUGUAAAGCUCUGUCUUCAGGGACGAUAAUGACGGUACCUUAGGAGGAAGCCACGGCUAACUACGUG